This 320-nucleotide ribosomal RNA is filed under the name Allothereua maculata. Its description in RNAcentral is "eukaryotic LSU rRNA". It matches the Rfam family "Eukaryotic large subunit ribosomal RNA", at positions 666 to 946 of the family's 3401-position model. Lineage: Eukaryota; Metazoa; Arthropoda; Chilopoda; Scutigeromorpha; Scutigeridae. The record is from RNAcentral.
CCAAGGAGUCUAACAUGUGUGCGAGUCGUAGGGUGCGUACGAAACCCGAAGGCAAAGUGAAAGCACGGGCCGAUUCAUUGGCCGAGGCGGGAUCCGUCCGUUUCCCCUCGUGGGAAUACGGGCGGCGCACCGCCGGCCCGUCUMGACCGCAGCGUCGGUGAGGCGGAGCAAGAGCASACACGUUGGGACCCGAAAGAUGGUGAACUAUUCCUAGGCAGGACGAAGCCAGAGGAAACUCUGGUGGAGGUCCGUAGCGUUUCUGACGUGCAAAUCGAUCGUCAGACCUGGGUAUAGGGGCGAAAGACUAAUCGAACCAUCUA